RNAcentral lists this ribosomal RNA (426 nucleotides) under uncultured bacterium. RNAcentral's name for it is "partial 16S ribosomal RNA". It matches the Rfam family "Bacterial small subunit ribosomal RNA", at positions 354 to 796 of the family's 1533-position model. The record is from RNAcentral.
GUGAGGAAUUUUCCGCAAUGGGCGAAAGCCUGACGGAGCAAUGCCGCGUGAAGGAUGAAGGCCUAUGGGUUGUAAACUUCUUUUCUCAGAAAAGAAUUAUGACGGUAUCUGAGGAAUAAGCAUCGGCUAACUCUGUGCCAGCAGCCGCGGUAAGACAGAGGAUGCAAGCGUUAUCCGGAAUGAUUGGGCGUAAAGCGUCUGUAGGUUGUUUAAAAAGUAUUCUGCCAAAGAUUAGGGCUUAACCCUAGAUAGGCAGAAUAAACUUUUAAGCUAGAGUUUGGUAGAGGCAGAGGGAAUUCCCGGUGGAGCGGUGAAAUGCGUAGAUAUCGGGAGGAACACCAAAGGCGAAGGCACUCUGCUGGGCCAAUACUAACACUGAGAGACGAAAGCGAGGGGAGCAAAUGGGAUUAGAAACCCCAGUAGUCC